This 309-nucleotide long non-coding RNA is filed under the name Numida meleagris (helmeted guineafowl). RNAcentral describes it as "lncRNA (ENSNMEG00000021188.1)". The record is from RNAcentral. Lineage: Eukaryota; Metazoa; Chordata; Aves; Galliformes; Numididae.
CAGCAUGUGUCCUCUUAGAAAUCAAUGAAAGAACUGCUCUAGCAAAAUAUUUAAAAUAUUUCUUUCAUCUGUAGAGAACUGAACAGCCAACUUUUAAUAAUCUGACAUAUUCAACUGACUUCAAGUGGUAGCUCAAGCUCUCUUUCCCAUGAAGAAUUCCUAGGAACUGACAGUGCUGUUGAGCACUUUGAUCACAAGGCACAUGCUGCAAGAAUGCUUCAGAUUUCUCACAGCCUGAAGCACAUGCAAUAAAGGGCACCUGAAUGAAGUUCUGCACAGAAUAUGGUGCUCUGUAGUUCUUCAUAAGGG